AUUGAACGCUGGCGGCAGGCCUAACACAUGCAAGUCGAACGGCAGCACAGAAGAGCUUGCUCUUUGGGUGGCGAGUGGCGGACGGGUGAGUAAUGUCUGGGAAACUGCCCGAUGGAGGGGGAUCACUACUGGAAACGGUAGCUAAUACCGCAUAACGUUGCAAGACCAAAGUGGGGGACCUUCGGGCCUCACACCAUCGGAUGUGUCCAGAUGGGAUUAGCUAGUAGGUGGGGUAAUGGCUCACCUAGGCGACGAUCCCUAGCUGGUCUGAGAGGAUGACCAGCCACACUGGGACUGAGACACGGUCCAGACUCCUACGGGAGGCAGCAGUGGGGAAUAUUGCACAAUGGGCGCAAGCCUGAUGCAGCCAUGCCGCGUGUAUGAAGAAGGCCUUCGGGUUGUAAAGUACUUUCAGCGGGGAGGAAGGCGGUGAGGUUAAUAACCUCGCCGAUUGACGUUACCCGCAGAAGAAGCACCGGCUAACUCCGUGCCAGCCGCCGCCGUAA
Molecule: ribosomal RNA, 506 nt
Filed under: uncultured bacterium
Lineage: Bacteria
Description: partial 16S ribosomal RNA
Rfam family: Bacterial small subunit ribosomal RNA
Source: RNAcentral